This 463-nucleotide long non-coding RNA is filed under the name Bactrocera tryoni. RNAcentral describes it as "uncharacterized LOC120780969". Lineage: Eukaryota; Metazoa; Arthropoda; Insecta; Diptera; Tephritidae. The record is from RNAcentral.
CCAAGACAAAAUUAUUGGAGUAAGUUUACAAAAGUGACUGGACAUUGCUGGCCGUGACAUCAUACGACAUCUGUUUAAGUUGCAGCUGCUUGGUGAUUACACAUUUAAUCCAACCGCUGCCUUUGAAAUUGUAUGAUGAGCUACAAACAUAAGUAUAUCACCUAUGACAUCGAGAUAAAACAUUACCCGAUGGUUGUGUGAUAAAUGUUUUGAGGCAAACGGCAAAUAUCGGAUUUGACUAAAUUGUACAAGCAUAUCGUGGGCAUGAGGAAAAAUUACGGAUCCGUUACAACGACAAGAUAUGGUCUUUAUCGGCGGCGUUAUUUUGGCAGAGAUGACAAAGAAUCGUGAUGGCUUUCGAAUGUGUAUAUGAAACAAGAAUAUUAAUAGUGGAAUUUUGACCUGAUAGUUAGCAGGUCACAAAACUAAAAAGAACUCUUGUUUGCCAUUUUGAAUAUGCUGA